ACAACAACAACAUCAUAGCACACAUGAAACAGCAACAGCAAGCGACAACAUGGCUACCGGUGAGAGUGGGAAGUUUGUUCCCAAGAAAGGAAUAAAAUCAUCUGUUGAGAGUCACAAACAACAAGGCA
Molecule: long non-coding RNA, 128 nt
Organism: Sander lucioperca (pikeperch)
Lineage: Eukaryota; Metazoa; Chordata; Actinopteri; Perciformes; Percidae
Exons: 3
Source: RefSeq, a predicted model, not a curated record